UGCAUAUGGCGGGUGGCGUCAUGUUUGUAUUUACAGUCUCCCGAGCGAGAUUUCAUUCAUGUAUGCACAAGUCACAAGUGAUUUUCGUCUGAGGGAGAGCUUUUAUCACCGAUCGUGCCUGUAGACGAUCGACGACGACCGGUCGAGGGCGGCAUGAGGCACCGCGUCAUGCCGGCGCUCUCGGCCGGCUUCGGGGAGCAGAUUGAGGAAUAUGAAGUGCUGAAUCUACUGGGCAAGGGCGGUUACGGGAGCGUCUACCGAGCGAAAUGUCUCCGCAGCGGCAUAGAAGUCGCGAUCAAGAUGAUCGACAAGAAAAUGAUGGCAGCUGCUGGGAUGGCGGAUAGGGUAAGCCAAGAAGUAAAGAUACACUGGCGGUUAAAGCAUCCGGCCAUCCUGGAAUUGUAUACGUGUUUCGAAGAUGCAAACUAUGUGUAUCUGGUCUUGGAGUUGUGUCACAACGGGGAGCUCCAACGCUUCCUCAAAGCACAGGGUACCAAAGUUCUGUCCGAGGAUCAUGCUGCCCCUAUAAUCCGGCAAGUUGUACAGGGCUUGCUCUAUCUUCACUCUCACCAAAUACUUCACCGAGACCUGUCGUUAUCUAAUCUACUAUUGACCAGGGAUAUGCAGGUGAAAAUAGCGGAUUUCGGAUUGGCUACGCAGCUGAACAAGCCGGACGAGAAACACUUGACCAUGUGCGGCACACCGAAUUACAUCUCGCCCGAGGUCGCGACGAGAUCAUCGCACGGUCCGGAGGCAGACGUGUGGAGCUUGGGGUGCAUGUUGUACACUUUGUUGGUGGGCAAACCACCAUUCGACACUGACGCCAUCAAGAGUACCUUGACCAGAGUGGUCAUGGCGGAUUACGUGAUGCCGCCUCACUUGUCGGACAAUGCGAAGGAUCUGAUAGACAAGUUGCUGAAGAAGAAUCCGAAGGAUAGAAUACGCCUGCGGGACAUUCAAAAGCAUCCGUUCAUAGCGAGCGUAGAGAAGAACAGACUGCAUAGCGAAAGAAACGGUAUGAGCCAAGCGCUACUGAGCAACGGCAUCAUGGAUUCCGGACUCGGUAGAACGCUGUCGUCGUACGGCAGGUCGAAGAUACGAUCGCGAUCGGAGGAAAGGAUGUCGACGAUGCCGAUGGUACCACUGGUCAGCAUGAGAAGCGAGGCGCUGUCCGAGCCGAUUGCGAGGAUGCACUCGUAUCACAAAACGAGAUGUGCCAACAAUUGUACAAAAGAGGAUUCCGUGUUGAUGGACGUGCCGUUACCUCGCGCUAGGCUUUUCUCCUACAACGGGCUGUAUGGCAAUCGUAAUGCGUGCGACGACUUCGAGAGGCAGAAGCCGGUAAUCGAGCGGCAACACAAACCGAAAAGAGAGAAGAGCGUGGAAAACCUGAGAAACGCUGAGAAAAAUGAAGUACCCACGAAGUUGCAAGUGGCGCCUUUGGACUCCAACCGAUUGCAACCGACGAGGCAUCGAACGAAGAACGCGAUCCUUACAAUUUUGGACAACGGAGAGGUCUGCAUCGAGUUUAUCAAGCGGAGGAACGGCACGGAAAAAGUCAGCGAGGUCUGCCGAAUAUCGGACGAUGGCCUGCGGAUCGUUCUCUACAAACCGAACGCGGCGGAGGUAGGCCCGCAGCCGCCACCGUUGCCGAGUCGAGGCGCCGACAGCAUUUACUCGUACGAGAAUCUGCCGGCGUGUCAUCACCGAAAGUACAUGUACGCGUUCCGUUUCGUGAAGUUGGUCCGAGCGAAAACCCCGAAGCUGACGUUAUACACUCAGCGCUCCAAGUGCCUGUUCAUGGAGAACGGUCCGCAGCCUGACUGCGAGGUGCAUUUCUACAAUGGAGUAAAGGUUGUUCGAGUCGACGGCGUCGUGAGGAUCACCGACCACAACGGCGAUGCGACGUUCGUCGAGGGUGAGUUCCCGUUGCACCUCGAAACUUAUUACGAGCAUUACUCGGAGUGCUACCAGCGUUGCCUGCUGCUAGAGUCCACUCUAGCUUCCUUAGAAGCGGCCACCGGCCACCCCUGCUUCCCGGUGAUAAUCGGACGGAGGCCCAGUGCAGCCCUGAAUGACGCUUCCUGCUUACAGGGGAAGGAAAAUAUCUCGCAUACGACGAACGGUUCUCCCGUUUUACCCUCGUUUGACGCCACCUGCUCCGUCGUCUCGACGGUGACUUCCAGGUCGCGCAAGAUGAGUUCCAUGCACAGUUCCAGUUGCAAUAACGCGAACAAGGUAGCGGUACCGGGAAUCGGCUUCGCUACGAAACUGUCGUCCGGCGACAUCAGAGUCGACUACAAGGACGGGUCCGCUUUAACCGUGAGUCCGCAGAAUCACGGAAGCGGCAUCAUGUACGAGAGCAACGACGGCGUCGUCGUGCGAUACAACACGCACCAUCAGCAAAACCUGGAGAUACCGGUUCAGGAGAAGCUCCGCCAGUUGCCUAUGGUUGUCAAAUAUCUCAUGGAACCGAGGCACAAGGGCAUCCGGUAGCUUCCGCACGAAUAUUUUUCAACAAAUGUUUUGUAUAAUACGAUCGACAGAGUCACGCCCGUGGACCAGAAAUGUUGUCGAGCCUGAAAACAAUUUGACGAAUGUUAAAUGUAAGGAGGCCUGACAGCUUUACAGUGGAAGAGAGCAAUAAUUUUCUGUAGAUAGAGGACAGGUAAAUAAUUUUUGUGAGAAUGGAAUAAUUGAGAACGCGCGGGCGUUUCCAUUACGAAUACUGUACAGAGGAAUCUAGGGAACAAUAAUACUCCACUGAAAGUAACGAGCUAUGUACGUAUAUACAGGUAUAUUUAUUACUUUUAUAUCGAUCGAGAAAUUACAUUAUUUCUAAUUUAUCAUUAUUAUUAUCAUCCGCUUUAUUACGCCAUUAUGAGAUAAGGGAAUAGUUCAUAAUAAAAAGUUCGCAUAAUAAAAUAUUUCUAU
This 2934-nucleotide unclassified non-coding RNA is filed under the name Ooceraea biroi (clonal raider ant). RNAcentral describes it as "serine/threonine-protein kinase PLK4, transcript variant X1". Lineage: Eukaryota; Metazoa; Arthropoda; Insecta; Hymenoptera; Formicidae. The record is from RNAcentral.